RNAcentral lists this ribosomal RNA (1788 nucleotides) under Triticum aestivum (bread wheat). RNAcentral describes it as "partial small subunit ribosomal RNA". The record is from RNAcentral. Lineage: Eukaryota; Viridiplantae; Streptophyta; Magnoliopsida; Poales; Poaceae.
GCUAGAGAAAGAGCGUACAAACGAGUGGUGUAACAAAAGGCUCGAGGUAUAGGCUCCUCUCGAGGUGCCAUAUGGAAAUUUGAUACUAUACUAUUUUUAAUUACUCUAAUUGUUUACUGUUUUGUCCCUAUUUUUGCCAUGCGAAAAUUGCCUCCCUAGCAAAUUUGAAAAGAUAAAAGGAAAAGCAGGGCAAAGCAUCUAAUCCAUGUAGAGGGUCAAAUGAUCAAAUGCCCAAAUAAAACAGGGCAAAUGAUCAAAUGUCCCACCCGGAAACGCCCACCAAAGAAAUUCGAUGGCUGUCUCCUGCUCUUCUUCCUCCGUCUCGGGCUCCGCCAAAGCCCUAGCUUGCCUCCAUACCUCCCACCUCGCGCCCCAAAGAACAGCAUCAGCCCGCUUGCGCCUACAGUGUAUCAAGAUGUGCUCUGCUCCGGCUGCGCCAGGGGGGUCAAAGAAGACCGUCUGGGUAUGGACAGAGAACCGGCAGGUGAUGACGGCAGCCGUAGAGAGGGGUUGGAACACUUUCCUCUUUGGAUCCAAAGAGGUCGGCAAGGACUGGUCAUCAACUGCUCGCAUCCAUCCUCUCUUUAUUGAUGGCCUGGAGAUUUUUGACGAGGGGAACCAAAAGGUUGCUGCAAUUUCUGAAAUCUCUUCCCCAAGUGAGCUGCAACUCAUACAGCCAGACAAUGUGGAAGUACAGAACAACGUGAUUCACUUCCGAGGUGAUUGGCAGGUUAUACCAGCAGAAAAUAUAGUUGCUGCAUUCCAAGGAUGCGCUGGAGCUGUAUUGGCUGUUUCGACAAACUCAACUGAGGCUCAAGUUUUUCUUGAGGCCUUGGAGCAAGGGCUUGAUGGAGUUGUACUUAAAGUAGAGGACAUGGAUGAUAUUAUUAAACUCAAGGAUUAUUUUGACAGAAGGAACGAGGCAAAGAGCCAGUUACAGUUGACAAAGGCUACUGUAUCAAAGGUUGAAGUUGUUGGUAUGGGCGAUCGUGUUUGUGUGGAUCUCUGUAGUAUCAUGCGACCCGGUGAAGGCCUUCUGGUUUGUGUCGGUUCCUAUGCAAGAGGAAUGUUCCUUGUUCACUCUGAAUGCUUGGAGACAAACUACAUUGCUAGCAGACCUUUCAGGGUCAAUGCAGGGCCUGUGCAUGCAUAUGUUACAGUCCCUGGCAACAAGACUAGCUACCUCUCAGAGCUGCAAUCAGGCAGGGAAGUAAUUGUUGUUGAUCAAAAUGGGUUGUGGCGAACUUCAAUUGUCGGCCGCGUGAAGAUUGAAUCAAGGCCUCUCAUCCUUGUAGAAGCAAAGGAGAACUCUGGAAAUGGCACAUAUAGCAUUUUCCUUCAAAAUGCAGAGACAGUUGCACUUAUUGGUCCUGACAGAGGAUCUGGUGGAAGGACUGCUAUUCCUGUGACUUCACUGAAAGUUGGCGACGAAGUUCUGGUGAGGAAGCAGGGCGGCGCCCGUCACACUGGAAUAGAGAUUCAGGAGUUUAUUGUCGAGAAAUGAGACACACUGUGACAUUUACCCGCCUUAGCAGGCUGGCAUGCUCAUCGCUGCUGUUUUUGUUCUCCACAACAAAUUUGUGCAAGUUCAUCAAAUCAUCACUAAACCCAAGAGACAUACGUCUAGUAUCUGUACAUUCCUGAAAUUCAAGGCUCAUUUUUCCAUUUUAUCUUUUUCAGUUGCAUAAUGUUGCAAGAGGGGAGUCCUUUCCUGUAUGUUACAUAUAUUAAUCCCUAUCUGGACAAAGGAAUUGCAAUUGCCUGAGAAAUAUGCAGCUGUGAUUAAAA